UUAGUGGCGGACGGGUGAGUAACGCGUGGGUAACCUGCCGUAUACCGGGGGAUAACACCUGGAAACAGGUGCUAAUACCGCAUAAGCGCACGGGACCGCAUGGUCCAGUGUGAAAAACCGAGGUGGUAUGCGAUGGACCCGCGUCUGAUUAGCCAGUUGGCAGGGUAACGGCCUACCAAAGCGACGAUCAGCAGCCGGCCUGAGAGGGUGGACGGCCACAUUGGGACUGAGACACGGCCCAAACUCCUACGGAAGGCAGCAG
Molecule: ribosomal RNA, 262 nt
Filed under: uncultured bacterium
Lineage: Bacteria
Description: partial 16S ribosomal RNA
Rfam family: Bacterial small subunit ribosomal RNA
Source: RNAcentral